Long non-coding RNA from Triticum aestivum (bread wheat), 2002 nucleotides. RefSeq lists it as uncharacterized. Lineage: Eukaryota; Viridiplantae; Streptophyta; Magnoliopsida; Poales; Poaceae. The transcript is spliced from 7 exons. The record is from RefSeq and is a predicted model, not a curated record.
GACGCCGGCCGCCCCCCCCCCACCCACCCACCACCACCAGGGCCUCGCCCCGUCUCCUCCUAUCCCCUCCAGGGCCUCGCCCCGUCUCCUCCUAUCCCCUCCAGGGCCUCGCCCCGUCGGCCCUUAUCCCCAGCACGGCCUCGCCCCGCCCCCUCCUCUGACCACCGCGGCCUUGCCUCGCCGCCAACCCCGCGGAUCUUCCCUGGAUCGACUCUGCCACCUUCAUCCUACUGCCCCAGAGGAUAUCGAGAUGUGAGCUGGUCGACACAAUUCGGGAGCAGGCAUAUCGAAUUGGAUCGAGAUCCCGUGCGUCAUCAAGUCGCUCUGGGAAGGAGUUCGCAGCUCGCGUACGUGCUCUACAGGAUCAGACUAAUCUCUCUGUCGCCGCUGUUGUUGGCUUGCAAUAGACCAGACUGUUUCAGAGGUACCACAAAGUGGUUGAUUCAAAGUUCGCACUAUUUAUAUCACAGGAUGGUACAAAUGGAGAAGUAAAAAAUAAGGCCUGGAGUUAUACCCAAAUAAUUUAUGCAGCCCAAUGAAGUGUAUCGCCUUGAGCUCCAUUAUUUAGGCCAGAUCUCAUGAGAGGUGUUGUGUCAAUUGCAUUGGCAUACAAUAAGCUGAUGUAUGGUGGUUGCCUUCUUGUACAUGAGCAAGCGACUGCGGGAGAUCACGACUUGUUCUUUUGAUUUUUUUGGUUCAUCACAUGAUCCAUCAAGCCAGCCAAGGGGGAGAUCAGUUAAGAGGUGAAGUAGAAAUUGGAAUCGGAAUAGGAGGCAUAUCUUCAACUGGUUUGAUGCAUGUUGGAAGAGGUCCUGAAAGGGAGUACGUACCCCACUACGCUGAGAUCCGGACAUACUGUCUUCUCAAUGGCUCCUGUUCUGAAACACUUCACGAACCCUGCCUGAACUCAGUGUGCUAUGCAAAUUAUGAUGUACUGUUCGGCAGUAGUCAUAUGUACUGGAGAUGUUGCUGGCUACAGGGGUGAUGACACCGGAGGUAAGGCAGUGCACCGGGUCGAGGACGUCGCUGACACUGGGGGCGAGGGCGGCGUCGUGAGGACGGCGUAUUGAGGAGAGUUAGGGCUGCAAGGCGGGUCGAGGACGUCGCGGAGACCAGGGGCGAGGGUCGCGUGCCGAGGGCGGCCGGGCGGGGCGGAGCGAGGACGGCGGGACGGCGUGCCGACGCGAGGUUCGUGGCGUGGUGGCGUUGAUCGCGGAGAUACGGCAUUAUUCGCUGGAUGGAGUUGUCAUCGUUGGGAUGUGUAGGAGCCUGGACGUGGGAGUCUGCCGGCAGAACAUUUCCUUACAACCGUCGAUCUGUUUGUAUUAUGGUUGAUGAAACGUGGACAGUUGGAUGGUAGUUAGUGGGUAUGAUCGGACGUCUGGGGUAAUUGUGUGUGCACUUUCUUGUGUGGAUGUAGGGGAAGUAACGUUUGGUCUUUUAAUAGUAGUAUAGAAGUAUAGAUGAUAUGAAAAUUAUAAUAAGCUAAUUAAAGAUGGGCAGCACUAGGGAUCAGACUACUGAUCCCUUGCUCCCAUCAGACUAGUGGAGCACCGUAGGAUCAGAAGCCUUGUAGCCGUCCAAUAUUUUAAUAUGGCCCACACAUGGUUUGUUGGUUUGGAUCCUUAAUUAAUUGCUCCGGUUAGUCCUUACACUAAACACGCUGCUACAUAUGCCAACUAUCCUUGCUUCCUAAAUCACUGCUUUCAUUGCUUUCUAAAUCACUACUUCCUGAUUGAACACACGCAUCAACAAAUGGUAGAUUCAUAGUACUUGGCCAUUAGCCAGAAAUUGCUUCCCAUAAAUCACGCCAAAUAUCCUUUAUUAUAAAAGAAAAAUCUGGUAAUUUGUGAUUUGCUUCCAACAAACAAAUAUAAGAAAAAAAUUAGUAUUCGAGAUACUUUUUGUACAUACCAACAUGAUUAGGUGGCAUGGAAGCAUUAUUCUUUCUCGGAAGAAGCAUCGUUUUAUGGUUUGAUGAGAACAUAUUUAUUCCAUAUUU